RNAcentral lists this small RNA (980 nucleotides) under Pan troglodytes (chimpanzee). RNAcentral's name for it is "retained intron". Lineage: Eukaryota; Metazoa; Chordata; Mammalia; Primates; Hominidae. The record is from RNAcentral.
UUUCAGGCACCCUUUCUUGGGCCGCGAGGUCCCUAUCUCGAACGGCUCAGGAUUCGUGGUGGCUGCCGAUGGGCUCAUUGUCACCAACGCCCAUGUGGUGGCUGAUCGGCGCAGAGUCCGUGUGAGACUGCUAAGCGGCGACACGUAUGAGGCCGUGGUCACAGCUGUGGAUCCCGUGGCAGACAUCGCAACGCUGAGGAUUCAGACUAAGGAGCCUCUCCCCACGCUGCCUCUGGGACGCUCAGCUGAUGUCCGGCAAGGGGAGUUUGUUGUUGCCAUGGGAAGUCCCUUUGCACUGCAGAACACGAUCACAUCCGGCAUUGUUAGCUCUGCUCAGCGUCCAGCCAGAGACCUGGGACUCCCCCAAACCAAUGUGGAAUACAUUCAAACUGAUGCAGCUAUUGAUUUUGGAAACUCUGGAGGUCCCCUGGUUAACCUGGUGAGUGAGACAUCCUUCCUUCCAAGAAUCCCUGCCCCAGGUCAGUGUGGGAAGGGUAGGUUUUCCCUAAUUCAAGGAUGUUUGGUCAAGUUUCUGAGCAGUUCUUUGUUGGCUAUCUCUCAAUAUCCAACCAGAUCUCCCCAACACUUGCUGGUACUUUUGUUCGGGUGCCCCCAUCCCCUACUAUUUGUUUGGGCUAGGGAACUGGGGGCUGUAUCCCUGCAGGAUGGGGAGGUGAUUGGAGUGAACACCAUGAAGGUCACAGCUGGAAUCUCCUUUGCCAUCCCUUCUGAUCGUCUUCGAGAGUUUCUGCAUCGUGGGGAAAAGAAGAGUGAGCCUGCCUUAUGGGGAAACGGGUUCCUUUAAAGUGGUGGAAAUAGGGGAAGGGCAUUCAUUGGGACUUCCUGGAGGGUGGUCUACUGGGAGAAGAGGGCGGGGAAGGAAGGAUGUAGCUGGGUGGGGCUCAUUUGUCCCUCUGUCACAGAUUCCUCCUCCGGAAUCAGUGGGUCCCAGCGGCGCUACAUUGGGGUGAUGAUGCUGA